GGGGAAUAUUGCACAAUGGGGGAAACCCUGAUGCAGCAACGCCGCGUGAGUGAUGACGGUCUUCGGAUUGUAAAGCACUUUCAGCGGGGAGGAAGGCGAUAAGGUUAAUAACCUUGUCGAUUGACGUUACCCGCAGAAGAAGCACCGGCUAACUCCGUGCCAGCAGCCGCGGUAAUACGGAGGGUGCAAGCGUUAAUCGGAAUUACUGGGCGUAAAGCGCACGCAGGCGGUCUGUCAAGUCGGAUGUGAAAUCCCCGGGCUCAACCUGGGAACUGCAUCGGAAACUGGCAGGCUAGAGUCUUGUAGAGGGGGGUAGAAUUCCAGGUGUAGCGGUGAAAUGCGUAGAGAUCUGGAGGAAUACCGGUGGCGAAGGCGGCCCCCUGGACAAAGACUGACGCUCAGGUGCGAAAGCGUGGGGAGCAAAC
This 425-nucleotide ribosomal RNA is filed under the name uncultured bacterium. RNAcentral's name for it is "bacterial SSU rRNA". It matches the Rfam family "Bacterial small subunit ribosomal RNA", at positions 356 to 773 of the family's 1533-position model. The record is from RNAcentral.